GACGAACGCUGGCGGCGUGCCUAAUACAUGCAAGUUGAGCGCUGAAGGUUGGUACUUGUACCAACUGGAUGAGCAGCGAACGGGUGAGUAACGCGUGGGGAAUCUGCCUUUGAGUGGGGGACAACAUUUGGAAACGAAUGCUAAUACCGCAUAAAAACUUUAAACACAAGUUUUAAGUUUGAAAGAUGCAAUUGCAUCACUCAAAGAUGAUCCCGCGUUGUAUUAGCUAGUUGGUGAGGUAAAGGCUCACCAAGGCGAUGAUACAUAGCCGACCUGAGAGGGUGAUCGGCCACAUUGGGACUGAGACACGGCCCAAACUCCUACGGGAGGCAGCAGUAGGGAAUCUUCGGCAAUAGACGAAAGUCUGACCGAGCAACGCCGCGUGAGUGAAGAAGGUUUUCGGAUCGUAAAACUCUGUUGGUAGAGAAGAACGUUGGUGAGAGUGGAAAGCUCAUCAAGUGACGGUAACUACCCAGAAAGGGACGGCUAACUACGUG
This 497-nucleotide ribosomal RNA is filed under the name uncultured bacterium. Its description in RNAcentral is "partial 16S ribosomal RNA". It matches the Rfam family "Bacterial small subunit ribosomal RNA", at positions 28 to 507 of the family's 1533-position model. The record is from RNAcentral.